Long non-coding RNA from Drosophila montana, 807 nucleotides. RefSeq lists it as uncharacterized. The record is from RefSeq and is a predicted model, not a curated record. Lineage: Eukaryota; Metazoa; Arthropoda; Insecta; Diptera; Drosophilidae. The transcript is spliced from 2 exons.
GUUCAUUCUGGCAAGGAUCACACAAUUUUCAAUUUAAUCACGUAUAACCUUUGAGCUGCUCUCAACUUACUUCUGUGGCUCGACGAGCACCUUGAGCUUGUCCACGCUCAGGUAGGUGCGUCCGUUGCGCGACUGUGUGGCCGGCUUGAACUUGACCGAAAACUUGGGAUUGUGCAGGCUACAAAAAUGACAUGCUCGGCUACUUACACGGCCCUGUCGAACUUAACGCCGGACAAUCCCUCCACGUUGACAUCGCGGAAGUUGAGCUUCAGGCUCAGCGAGCCGGCGCGUCCAUCCGAGAUGUCAAAGCGCUUGACCAGGAACGGCUCCACCUGCGGAAAGGCCGCGGGCGCAUAGCCCGUGCGCGCAUAUUGACGGAUCAGCCUGUGCGAUACAUUGAUGAUGCAGUCGGUGUCGCCAUAAUGACAGCGGGGCAGCUCAGCAGCUAAAUUAAAAUGCCAAAGCGAAAUCAAAACUUAUUCGACGCACUGGCGCACUCGUGCGGGACUCACGGAAAUUGGAGGCGCCACUGGCACCAAGUGCCAGGCCGAGCAGCAAAACGGAGCACAGCGACAGGAGCAUCAUUUUUUUACUAUGCGAAACGGACGCUUACAAAUCUCAGAAAUAAAUUAUUUGGCGGCUAAGACGCGGGCGCGCUGCUUUCCGCGAACUCCCGACCAAGUUCAAUGCUAAACUGUAAAUUGGCUCUGGACAAACGCAGCCAUUUAUAGACUUUUUUUCAGAGCUCGCUCUGAAGCGGCCACCGGUCAGAUUCAGCCAAUACAUUAAAUAGUUUAUUCAUUCUUA